Molecule: non-coding RNA, 960 nt
Organism: Zonotrichia albicollis (white-throated sparrow)
Lineage: Eukaryota; Metazoa; Chordata; Aves; Passeriformes; Passerellidae
Source: RefSeq, a predicted model, not a curated record
UUUUCAGCUACCAGGCACUCUUCAAGAGAUGCAAAGUAAAUUAAUCUGUACCUUAAUUGAAAAAGUGAGCCCCAGUCUAAAGGAAUGUAAAAAAAAUUGCAUCUGAGCUUUCAAGUAACAAGUUGCACACAGGGGACUUGCUGUGAAGAGCUGUUGAAAUGUAAGGUGCUAAGACUUAUAACAAGGGUGAGGAGAAGUUGACCUCAGUAUUAGAAGUUUUCUUUCCACAGUUGUGUCAGGACAUGGAAGAAGCCAAUUGCUGUCUCUGACCCCAGUCACACACAAAAAUAACAGAUGUCUCAGUAUGCUGAGAUCAGACACUAAGGGGAGCUGAGGAGAACAGAUGUUGCAUCAACAGAGUUUUUCUUCUUCUGAAUUGUUUUGAAAUAAAGUGUUGUUUUCUGGCCUUUUUUCUUCCUAAUUGAAUUUCCUAUAUUGAAAUAGAUCUCCUGAUAUCAAGUCUAAUUAUUUGCAUUUAUUUAGGGAUGAAUCCACAAAAGCACAGAUUGAGCUUUAAUUGUAUACAUAUCUUUCCAUGAGAAAUUUCUCUGAAGAAACAUCAUGUACUUUAUCCAGAAAAUGAUCUUAUCUCUGUAGAAUAAAGUGAGGCCAAAUUAUCUACUUAAGAUGAUUAGUAGAUUAUCUACUUUAUAUUAUCUACAUAUAAAUGACAUACUUUUAAAAAUGUACAAUCAGUAUGGAAUCAAAAUAUGGUAAUAAUUUUGACAGAUUAAGUGGACUCAAGGAUCACAAAGGUGUUAACCUGAUCAAGUCACUGUAAAGCAGUCACAAGUAUAUCAGAUAUUUGAGUGUAGAGACCCUGGAUCCCCAUGGCUAAUUCCCAUGAUAAAUAAACUGGAAUAUUCUUGCUAAACACAGACACUGGCACACACACUCACAUUCACACACACACACACACACACAUACAAAGUUUAGAUUAGACUGUAAUGGAGGAAAAAA